UACGGAAGGCAGCAGUGGGGAAUAUUGCACAAUGGGCGAAAGCCUGAUGCAGCUAUGCCGCGUGUAUGAAGAAGGCCUUAGGGUUGUAAAGUACUUUCAUCGGGGAGGAAAAACAAAACUAAUAAUUUUAUUUCUUGACGUUACCCGAAAAAGAAGCACCGGCUAACUCCGUGCCAGCAGCCGCGGUAAUACGGAGGGUGCUAGCGUUAAUCAGAAUUACUGGGCGUAAAGAGCACGUAGGUGGUUUUUUAAGUCAGAUGUGAAAUCCCUGGGCUUAACCUAGGAACUGCAUUUUGAAAACUGAAAUACUAGAGUAUCGUAGAGGGAGGUAGAAUUCUAGGUGUAGCGGUGAAAUGCGUAGAUAUCUGGAGGAAUACCUGUGGCGAAAAGCGGCCUCCUAAAACGAAUAACUGACACUGAGGUGCGAAAAGCGUGGGGAGCAAAACAGGGAUUAGAUACC
This 460-nucleotide ribosomal RNA is filed under the name uncultured bacterium. Its description in RNAcentral is "bacterial SSU rRNA". It matches the Rfam family "Bacterial small subunit ribosomal RNA", at positions 340 to 786 of the family's 1533-position model. The record is from RNAcentral.